RNAcentral lists this long non-coding RNA (412 nucleotides) under Coccomyxa subellipsoidea. RNAcentral's name for it is "long non-coding RNA (CSUB_LNC000560)". Lineage: Eukaryota; Viridiplantae; Chlorophyta; Trebouxiophyceae; Coccomyxaceae. The record is from RNAcentral.
GAAGACAGCCUGCAUCGCUUUCAUCUGUCAAGGAUGGCAGGUGCCCUUGCUCCUCGCUGGGAUGCAGAGAGUCUGCUGCGCCGUCUCGGCUGGUCGAGGAUUCCUGACUUGCCACAAAGUCAGGGCAGUCGACGUCCACGGAUGUUGAUGAAGUCUGAUGCAGAGCCAAGCCGUCCACUGUGGGCACAUCGCAUGCCGCGCUGCAGCUGCUGUCGUCAAUGUCAUCCAGGCUCUGCGACGCGCUGACUGCCUCACCGCGACUAUGCUUCACCGGAGAUGGACGCUGGGCUUCCUGUCCAUGCUGUGCACUCCCCUGCUGCAAAUUUUCUGCUCCCUCCUCAUGCUGCGGCGAUGCAGGCGGCACAGAUGCACGGGUGCUGGCGUCCAGUGCUGACAGGGGCUCUGUUUGCAG